UGCUAGUGUGCUCAGCUUUGAUGCAAUCUUGUGACUAAGUGUGGAUGCAUCGGAAAUGUUGCAGAGCACUGCGUAGUCGUGUCACUUCCUUUUCUACUUUGAGGUACAGUUCAGUUCACCACCAUCAGAACACCACGAGAGGCUUGUUUCCCUGUCAAUCAACAUUAUUUGCCAUGUCAAACCCUGUGGUCACCAGCCAACCGGGAGCAGGGUCCUACGGUACUAAUGUUCAGACUGGAGAUUGGAGCUCUGGACUGUGCUCCUGCUGCAGUGAUGUGCUGGUUUGCGUCCUGGGUUGUUUCUGCCCCCUUGCAUUGGGAUGUUAUGCUGUAAACAAAUAUGGAGAGAAUCCAUGUUUAGCAUGUGUUCCUGGAGGAAUGGCAUCGAUGAGGACUCACAUGAGGCUUACAUAUGGCAUCCAG
Molecule: long non-coding RNA, 422 nt
Organism: Sardina pilchardus (European sardine)
Lineage: Eukaryota; Metazoa; Chordata; Actinopteri; Clupeiformes; Clupeidae
Exons: 3
Source: RefSeq, a predicted model, not a curated record